GCUCUGGAAGUGAAGCCCACAGACCGACGCUGCUUGGCUCCCUGGAUUCAGCCUCCUUCCUAGGGAGUGACCAAUCUGAGAAACCCAGGAGCUGUGCUCCUCCGAGAAAAAGAGAAGCUGAAGAGCCCUCACUGACAUCCAAGGCACAUGGACAUACCACAGUACAGGUCCCUGCUGAAAACACAGAAAAUGCAGAAGAAUCCCCGGAACACAAGUGACCACCAGAGCGCUGUACUGCACUUUUUCUAGCCCUGCACCAAGACAGAGGCUUAAUUUAGUCCAGAGAUUCAGAAGGGAAAUCCAGAAUAAGCUAAACCUAAUGGAGUGAAAAAAGAGAACAUUCUCAUCUCUUUAGCUUUGGCAAGAUGCCAGACAACCUGUGCCAAUAUCCCAGAAUCCAUCACCUGUCGAGCUUUUACUAGAAACAUCAGGUUUCCCACAUCCUGGGGUACAAAAUUCAUCCUCAAUGCUGGUUACCUGCCCCAUGCAGAUGCUGGCAUUUAAAAUG
Homo sapiens (human) is the source of this 508-nucleotide long non-coding RNA. RefSeq lists it as uncharacterized. The transcript has 3 exons. NCBI's taxonomy places the organism in Eukaryota, Metazoa, Chordata, Mammalia, Primates, Hominidae. The record is from RefSeq and is a predicted model, not a curated record.